GAAGUAUUACAUAAUCAUGUACUCUGUACUGUCUCUAAACUUUUCUCUGUAGAGACACAAGGUGGACAUCGAGCGCUGGAGACAAAGAAGGCAGUCCAGGAAAGGCAUUUAUGUAUCACCAUUACUAAAAGCUUUCCCUUUCAAGAAAACCAAAAAAGUAGGAUGAUGUUGUUUGAUGAUGACCUCAGUAUUUUGAUACAGUCCAUACCACAGAACAGCAAUUCUUAUGAUAUGCAUAAUGCACUUUUUUUAUGCAGCCAAGACUGCUGACAAAGACAACUGGAUCAUGGGCAACAAACAAAGAAGAAAUCUGUGAGCAAAACUUGUCUUCAAAAGCUUCUACUGGGCAGCCCAAGUCCAAAAAAAAAAAAAAACCCAAAAAAACAAGAGGGUAAUGGAAAAGUAGAGUAUAAUACUUCACAGGUAAGACUAGGUGAAGUUGAGGCAAAUCUAAGGGUAUAAUAACAUUACACUACACACAUACUCCUACAUUACUCAUUUGUGAUAUGUAAAUGCCGAUUCCCUCUUUGUCCUUUUAGCCAUCAAAAGAUUCAGUUGGAGAGCCCAAGCCCAGAAAAGAAGAAAAGGACAUUGUCACUGAGGCCGCAAGUCACAUCCUAAAUGAUGACACUGUGCAGGUAAGUAAUAAUAAUAAUAAUAAUAAUAAUAAUAAUUAUAAAACACAGAAUAUUGAAUGAACAAUAUUUUGUAUGUCUAUUAUGUUAAUAAAAAAGCCAGGUAGGAGACAUAUCUGUUGUGCAAUGUGUUAAAUGCAGUACAAAAUAUGGUCAUUAAUGAUUCUGUUCCCACCAAUGUCAUUUUAUCAAGGCUCUCUGGAAUUUGAAGGACACUGAAGUGGUGCUUGCAGUGGUUCAGUCAAUUGAGUGUUAUUAGAUAGAUAUUUAAGGAGUAAAAGACAGUCCACUGUAAAUGACACAUGGAAUUCUUAGGAUACUUUUGAAUACGUUUUAUAAAUAUUUUUUAUGUAAAAGGACAGAUAAUAUUUUUACCAAAUGAUUUACAGAACAUUAUUUAUUGUAAAUUGAAAUGCUUAAUGUCAUCAACCUUUCAAUAC
Cyprinus carpio carpio is the source of this 1075-nucleotide long non-coding RNA. The record is from Ensembl. Lineage: Eukaryota; Metazoa; Chordata; Actinopteri; Cypriniformes; Cyprinidae.